This 87-nucleotide small RNA is filed under the name Arabidopsis thaliana (thale cress). RNAcentral describes it as "ATSL116070". The record is from RNAcentral. Lineage: Eukaryota; Viridiplantae; Streptophyta; Magnoliopsida; Brassicales; Brassicaceae.
AUUAAUUCUAAAAUUUCACUCGUAGAUUAUCGUCCUUUAUUAAUAUCAACUCAAACUCAUCCCACCAUAUAAUUUCAUUCCGUAAAA